Molecule: ribosomal RNA, 445 nt
Filed under: uncultured bacterium
Lineage: Bacteria
Description: bacterial SSU rRNA
Rfam family: Bacterial small subunit ribosomal RNA
Source: RNAcentral
GAUGAACGCUGGCGGCAUGCCUAAGACAUGCAAGUCGAACGAGAUGGCCCAGUGAAGGUUGAGUGCUUGCACAAGACUGAAUCUGGUUUACCAUCUAGUGGCAGACGGGUGAGUAACACGUGGGUGACCUGCCUUUUCGUUGGGGAUAACAGUUGGAAACGAUUGCUAAUACCGAAUAAGAUAUAAGAGUCAAUUUUAUAUUGAAAGGAGCCUUUAAAGCUUCGCGAUUAGAUGGGCCUGCGGCGUAUUAACUAGUUGGUGGGGUAAUGGCCUACCAAGGUAACGAUGCGUAGCCGAACUGAGAGGUUGAUCGGCCACACUGGGACUGAGACACGGCCCAGACUCCUACGGGAGACAGCAGUUAGGAAUAUCGUCAAUGGGGAACCGUGAACGAGCAAUGCCGCGUGAGUGAUGAAGGUCUUAUAGAUUGUAAAACUCUGUUGUA